Molecule: long non-coding RNA, 469 nt
Filed under: Lytechinus variegatus (green sea urchin)
Lineage: Eukaryota; Metazoa; Echinodermata; Echinoidea; Temnopleuroida; Toxopneustidae
Description: uncharacterized LOC121420866
Source: RNAcentral
CAUCAAUAUUAACUUAAUGACAUUCCAUAAGAAUAAAAAUCCAAUAGGACCAAGAUCUUAGCAGUUCACACCCGGUCAGAGGGACAAAAUUGAGAACCAUGCAGAUCAGCAAGUGUGAGUUACACGCUAAUGAGGAACAGGACAUCUGAAUUGGAAAAUUGCAAGAUUUCCCACUGCCCAAGCUGUUUAAGUACCGGUAUCACAACAAGUACCAAGAUGGAAGAAGUAUGUAGGCCAAGUUAAUAAGUAGUUACUUCAAAUUAAUUUGAAUAGAUAUAUCAACAAAGCAUUGAAUGUUCUUUAAACUGCAUAUCUGUAGAAAAGAGUGUAGUACAAGUUCAGGUUCAUCAGCGGGCAAUGACAUUAAAGUAUACAAAAUUUCACACAGAAUACAAGUAAGAAUUUUUUUUUCCAAUGGGCAAAUGUAUUACCUUUUAUUAAUAUUUAAUACUUCUACUAAUUCUUAGAA